UUCUACUGGUUUGUUUUCAGUCAUCUGUUGAGAUUAGUUCCUCCCCAUGAAGAUGCAUACAAAUAUAAUACUAAUGCCUCAAUGUAAAAGGACCUAAAUUGAGCUGAUGUUGGCAUGGCAAUUGAAAACAUCAAAAGCAAUUUGAUGGCAACAUCAACAUGCAAAAUCCUGCAGAUGAACUAAGUUGCUAAAGCUUCAGAGUUGUUACCUUCUCUUUGAGGCGCAGAAGAGGGAAUAGGUCUACCUAUGAGCUUGCUAAGAGCUCUGCUAGUAGUGAUAUGAGAUAAAGUGGGUUGAAAGAAACCCUACUUUGGGUCACGGAGUUGCUUUCUGAAGAUAUUAUCUGAGCUUUGUUUUGUUUCCUUUUAUCACAUUCAAAAACGGGAAAGAAAAAUAACCCUAUUGUAUUCCUUAGAAGUUGAAUGCUUGUAGUGGUGAAUUAGAAGGUUGUGGUAACUCAACUUUCUUGUAGAGUUUGAACAUCCGUUCGUGUGCCUGAAUAUAAUGCGAUAAUUCAAAUGUAGUUUUAUGUCACUCU
Non-coding RNA from Cucurbita pepo subsp. pepo (vegetable marrow), 538 nucleotides. The record is from RefSeq and is a predicted model, not a curated record. Lineage: Eukaryota; Viridiplantae; Streptophyta; Magnoliopsida; Cucurbitales; Cucurbitaceae.